RNAcentral lists this small RNA (2865 nucleotides) under Pongo abelii (Sumatran orangutan). RNAcentral describes it as "retained intron". Lineage: Eukaryota; Metazoa; Chordata; Mammalia; Primates; Hominidae. The record is from RNAcentral.
AUACUGAAGCCAGCAGGGCCUGCUCAGGCCCAUUCGUGGAGCAGAGAAGAUCCAAGGGCACCAAGAACCUGAAGAAAGGUUCAGUGCCCUGUGCCCAAGACCAGGGCGCAGACAGAAGCUCAGACAACUCCCACCAGGACAGGCCAGAGGAACCCAGCCCAGGAGGCUGCUCCAGACUGGAGGAAGUGAAAAUACCCCAUGGAGUGAAGCUUGUGUGUUACGUUUUCCAGCCUUCUCCUUCAGGAGGCACAGCAGGGGACCCUGGUGGCCUCUAUGACCCGUUCUACCCUCCAAGAAACGGUUCCCUGGCCCUUGGCGACCCCAACUCGGACCCUGCAUGUCCCCAGAGUGGCCCAAUGGAGGCCGAAGAGGAGUCUCUGCCGGAGCGGGCAGAGGACUCAGCCUUCGGGAGCUCCCAGACCCAGUGCUGAGUGAGGAGGUGGUGGAGGGCAUUGCCGCUGGCAUUGAGGCAGCCCUCUGGGACCUGACACAAGGCACCAAUGGCCGGUACAAGACCAAGUAUCGCAGCCUGCUGUUCAACCUGCGGGACCCCAGGAACCUGGACUUGUUUCUCAAAGUGGUUCAUGGAGCUGUCACCCCCUAUGACCUGGUGCGGAUGAGCUCGAUGCAGCUGGCCCCCCAGGAGCUGGCCCGCUGGCGGGACCAGGAGGAGAAAAGGGGCCUGAAUAUCAUUGAGCAGCAACAGAAGGAGCCGUGCAGACUUCCAGCCUCCAAAAUGACCCACAAGGGCGAAGUGGAGAUUCAGCGGGACAUGGACCAGAUGCUGACCCUGGAGGAUCUGGUGGUAAGUUGGAGCCUGACCUGGUGCUGGGCAGAGCCCAUGCCUGGGGGUCCCACGCCUCGCCUCACCAGCAGUGUGGCCUUGGGCAUGUCACCUUACUGCUCUGAGGCCCACCUUGUUUGUGAUAAAAUGGGGACAGCGAUCCUUAUCGCAUAGGGGAACAUGGGGUGGGACAGUGCUGCUGGCACAGGCCUGCCAGCACCUUGUCACUGUCGGUCCUCCUCCUUUUGGCCUCACCCCAAGGCCCCCACAUGAGUGGUAUUAAGUCCCAUCAUCACAGGCAUCCCCAACCUCAGGCAUUCUGCCCAGAUCGCUGCUGGGAAGCAGCAGGCUGCGCUGUUCCAGGCAGUGACUUUUUCAGAUGGAAGGAAAGAAGACCCACUGUAUUCAGUGGAUUGGUUUAGGGAUGCUCCAGGCAGGGAACCACCCGGCGCCCUGGCAGUCCAUCCAGAGGAACUUGUCCUCAGACCUGGAAAGCCAACGGGAGUGACAAUAGUCUAGGGCUCUUGGCGCUGAGGAUCUGCUCCAUCCUUAUGUCCAUCCUGCUCCUUCCUCACCCGUGGCCCCGGCUUGCACAUAGCCUGUCAUGGUGGCUCAGCAGCUCCAGCAUCCAUGAAGCUAUCAUCUCAGACUCCUGCAGUUGAUUAGAACUUUCCCUUGGCUUCCUUCGGUCACUCUCAGAAGGCCACUCUGGCUGUAGUUGAGUGUUCUGUGGGUCAGAUGUUCACCUGGGUCUCAUCAGCUGCGUGUUCAGGAGAGGGGUGCAGGGCAGGUCCCUUUAACUAUAUUUAGUCAGUCAGUAUAUUUAUGGGGCACCUACCAGGUGCCAGGCACGGUUCUAGGCACUGGGGAAGUGACAGUGAACGACAGAAAUCCCUGCUCCCCACUCCUACCACUAAUAUUCAGGCCAACGCCUGGGAGAACCUCUACCUGUGCCAAGAGGAUCCCUAAGGGGUGUGGCUGCUCCUCAGUCUAAAUCAGUUUGUAUUCCCUGAACAAACUGAAUGGCAAUGUCGGAGAAAGACCUAGAUAGCCACAGAGAGGAAGAAAGAAAGGAGGUGGGAGGGGAGGGGAGGGGAAAAUAACACAUGAUAACAAUCUUUACUGUUUAUUGAACACCUACUGUUCGCACCUUUUACAAGCAGUGUCUCAUUCACAUCUCACAAUGGCCUAGGAGGUUGGUGCUAUUCCCUGCCCAUUUCUGGGAUGAGGAACCUGGCGCCAAGGUCACAUAUGUGUGGUGGGGAAGCUGAGAUUUGAACCCAGGCUGGCUGACUCCAAAGCCUGUGCUUUGAGACUGUUCUGGAGGUGGUUGAUAAGAGUAGAGUUUCAAAAUCCCUUUAAACGUUCCUAAAGCAGUGAUUGUUUUAUGUUUAAAGCUAUUUCUAGUAUGAGGAAAAAAAGUGAUUUGGCAAUAGACGUCAAGAGUCUUUAAAAUGUUCCUUCUCCCUGAUUCUGUCAUCUGCUUCUGAAAUCUUGUCCUAAGGACAUAAUUUAAAGUUUAGGAAACUACUUUCUGCACAAAAAUGUCCUCAGUGCUAUUUAGUAAUAGUGAAAACCUGGAAAUGACCCAAAUGUAUAGCAACAGAGAUGAGACGUCCACUCCAGUCUCACCCCAUCACAGCAGUGUCUACGGGGACUAUAUGAUGUGACAAAUGCCUCUGCUAUUAUUAGUGAACAGAAAGAGAACACUAAGUUGAAUAUUUGAUCCCAGCUGUUUCAGGAAAAGGACCCCCCAAACCCUGUGUAUAGAAAAAGAUUAUAAAGGGCCGGGCGCGGUGGCCCAUACCUGUAAUCCCAGCACUUUGGGAGGCCGAGGCGGGUGGAUCAUGAGGUCAAGAGAUGGAGACCAUCCUGGUCAACCAACAUAGUAAAACCCAGUCUCUACUAAAAAUACAAGAAUUAGCUGGGUGUAGUGGCACACGCCUAUAGCUACUCAGGAGGCUGAGGCAGAAGAAUCGCUUGAACCCGGGAGGUGGAGGUUGCAGUGAGCUGAGAUCGAGCCACUGCACCCCAGCCCGGGCAACAGAGCAAGACUCUGUCUCAGAAAACAAACAAACAGA